CUUCCUCUUUUCUAAUUUGGCUCUGGAGCCACCAGCAGAACCUCUUCAAUAUCUUGCAUGUUACAGAUUUCACUACUCCCACCAGCUUGGAGACAACAUGUGGUUCUUGACAACUCUGCUCCUUUGGGUUCCAGUUGAUGGGCAAGUGGACACCACAAAGGCAGUGAUCACUUUGCAGCCUCCAUGGGUCAGCGUGUUCCAAGAGGAAACCAUAACCUUGCACUGUGAGGUGCUCCAUCUGCCUGGGAGCAGCUCCACACAGUGGUUUCUCAAUGGCACAGCCACUCAGACCUCGACCCCCAGCUACAGAAUCACCUCUGCCAGUGUCAAUGACAGUGGUGAAUACAGGUGCCAGAGAGGUCUCUCAGGGCGAAGUGACCCCAUACAGCUGGAAAUCCACAGAGGCUGGCUACUACUGCAGGUCUCCAGCAGAGUCUUCAUGGAAGGAGAACCUCUGGCCUUGAGGUGUCAUGCGUGGAAGGAUAAGCUGGUGUACAAUGUGCUUUACUAUCGAAAUGGCAAAGCCUUUAAGUUUUUCCACUGGAAUUCUAACCUCACCAUUCUGAAAACCAACAUAAGUCACAAUGGCACCUACCAUUGCUCAGGCAUGGGAAAGCAUCGCUACACAUCAGCAGGAAUAUCACAAUACACUGUGAAAGGCCUCCAGUUACCAACUCCUGUCUGGUUUCAUGUCCUUUUCUAUCUGGCAGUGGGAAUAAUGUUUUUAGUGAACACUGUUCUCUGGGUGACAAUACGUAAAGAACUGAAAAGAAAGAAAAAGUGGAAUUUAGAAAUCUCUUUGGAUUCUGGUCAUGAGAAGAAGGUAAUUUCCAGCCUUCAAGAAGACAGACAUUUAGAAGAAGAGCUGAAAUGUCAGGAACAAAAAGAAGAACAGCUGCAGGAAGGGGUGCACCGGAAGGAGCCCCAGGGGGCCACGUAGCAGCGGCUCAGUUGGUGGCCAUCGAUCUGGACCGUCCCCUGCCCACUUGCUCCCCGUGAGCACUGCGUACAAACAUCCAAAAGUUCAACAACACCAGAACUGUGUGUCUCAUGGUAUAUAACUCUUAAAGCAAAUAAAUGAACUGACUUCAACUGGGAUACAUUUGGAAAUGUGGUCAUCAAAGAUGACUUGAAAUGAGGCCUACUCUAAAGAAUUCUUGAAAAACUUACAAGUCAAGCCUAGCCUGAUAAUCCUAUUACAUAGUUUGAAAAAUAGUAUUUUAUUUCUCAGAACAAGGUAAAAAGGUGAGUGGGUGCAUAUGUACAGAAGAUUAAGACAGAGAAACAGACAGAAAGAGACACACACACAGCCAGGAGUGGGUAGAUUUCAGGGAGACAAGAGGGAAUAGUAUAGACAAUAAGGAAGGAAAUAGUACUUACAAAUGACUCCUAAGGGACUGUGAGACUGAGAGGGCUCACGCCUCUGUGUUCAGGAUACUUAGUUCAUGGCUUUUCUCUUUGACUUUACUAAAAGAGAAUGUCUCCAUACGCGUUCUAGGCAUACAAGGGGGUAACUCAUGAUGAGAAAUGGAUGUGUUAUUCUUGCCCUCUCUUUUGAGGCUCUCUCAUAACCCCUCUAUUUCUAGAGACAACAAAAAUGUUGCCAGUCCUAGGCCCCUGCCCUGUAGGAAGGCAGAAUGUAACUGUUCUUUUUGUUUAACGAUUAAGUCCAAAUCUCCAAGUGCGGCACUGCAAAGAGACGCUUCAAGUGGGGAGAAGCGGCGAUAUCAUAGAGUCCAGAUCUUGCCUCCAGAGAUUUGCUUUACCUUCCUGAUUUUCUGGUUACUAAUUAGCUUCAGGAUACGCUGCUCUCAUACUUGGGCUGUAGUUUGGAGACAAAAUAUUUUCCUGCCACUGUGUAACAUAGCUGAGGUAAAAACUGAACUAUGUAAAUGACUCUACUAAAAGUUUAGGGAAAAAAAACAGGAGGAGUAUGACACACACAGCAA
Homo sapiens (human) is the source of this 1949-nucleotide long non-coding RNA. Ensembl annotates it as Fc gamma receptor Ib, pseudogene. Its record names the gene FCGR1BP. NCBI's taxonomy places the organism in Eukaryota, Metazoa, Chordata, Mammalia, Primates, Hominidae. The record is from Ensembl.